This 900-nucleotide ribosomal RNA is filed under the name Pseudomonas sp. RNAcentral describes it as "bacterial SSU rRNA". It matches the Rfam family "Bacterial small subunit ribosomal RNA", at positions 49 to 940 of the family's 1533-position model. Lineage: Bacteria; Pseudomonadati; Pseudomonadota; Gammaproteobacteria; Pseudomonadales; Pseudomonadaceae. The record is from RNAcentral.
CUAAUCAUGGAAGUCGAGCGGUGAAGGGAGCUUGCUCCUGGAUUCAGCGGCGGACGGGUGAGUAAUGCCUAGGAAUCUGCCUGGUAGUGGGGGAUAACGUCCGGAAACGGGCGCUAAUACCGCAUACGUCCUGAGGGAGAAAGUGGGGGAUCUUCGGACCUCACGCUAUCAGAUGAGCCUAGGUCGGAUUACCUAGUUGGUGGGGUAAAGGCCUACCAAGGCGACGAUCCGUAACUGGUCUGAGAGGAUGAUCAGGCACACUGGAACUGACACACGGUCCAUACUCCUACGGGAGGAAUCAGUGGGGAAUAUUGGACAAUGGGCGAAAGCCUGAUCCAGCCAUGCCGCGUGUGUGAAGAAGGUCUUCGGAUUGUAAAGCACUUUAAGUUGGGAGGAAGGGCAGUAAGUUAAUACCUUGCUGUUUUGACGUUACCAACAGAAUAAGCACCGGCUAACUUCGUGCCAGCAGCCGCGGUAAUACGAAGGGGUGCAAGCGUUAAUCGGAAUUACUGGGCGUAAAGCGCGCGUAGGUGGUUUCACCAAGUCUGGAUGUGAAAUCCCCCGGGCUCAACCUGGGAACUGCAUCCAAAACUACUGAGCUAGAGUACGGUAGAGGGUGGUGGAAUUUCCUGUGUAGCGGUGAAAUGCGUAGAUAUAGGAAGGAACACCAGUGGCGAAGGCGACCACCUGGACUGAUACUGACACUGAGGUGCGAAAGCGUGGGGGAGCAAACAGGAUUAGAUACCCUGGGAGUCCACGCCGUAAACGAUGUCGACUAGCCGUUGGGAUCCUUGAGAUCUUAGUGGCGCAGCUAACGCGAUAAGUCGACCGCCUGGGGAGUACGGCCGCAAGGUUAAAACUCAAAUGAAUUGACGGGGGCCCGCACAAGCGGUGGAGCAU